AUAAAUUGGAUAUUUAAAAUUAAACCCUAAAGAGAAAACCUAAUCGAUUAGAAGAUUGAACAUUGAAGACCGGAGAUUGAAGAUCGAAGAUUGGAUCAGGUAAUCAUGGGGAUCAGAUUCAUACUAAUGGUGAAUAAGCAAGGACAAACCCGUCUUGCCCAGUAUUACGAAUACCUUACUCUUGAAGAAAGACGUGCCCUUGAGGGUGAAAUUGUACGCAAAUGCCUUGCCCGCAACGAACAACAGUGUUCAUUUGUGGAGCAUCGUACCUACAAAAUUGUCUAUAGGCGAUAUGCGUCACUCUUUUUCCUAGUUGGAGUUGAUAAUGAAGAAAAUGAAUUAGCUAUUUUGGAAUUCAUUCACCUCUUAGUUGAAACUAUGGAUCGUCAUUUUGGCAAUGUGUG
RNAcentral lists this unclassified non-coding RNA (404 nucleotides) under Hevea brasiliensis (rubber tree). The record is from RNAcentral. Lineage: Eukaryota; Viridiplantae; Streptophyta; Magnoliopsida; Malpighiales; Euphorbiaceae.